This is a non-coding RNA of Schistosoma mattheei, 45 nucleotides long. The record is from Rfam. NCBI's taxonomy places the organism in Eukaryota, Metazoa, Platyhelminthes, Trematoda, Strigeidida, Schistosomatidae.
ACCCAACUGAUGAGUCCCAAAUAGAAUGAAACGCGCGUCCUGGAU